RNAcentral lists this transfer RNA (73 nucleotides) under Candidatus Omnitrophica bacterium ADurb.Bin277. RNAcentral describes it as "tRNA-Thr". It matches the Rfam family "tRNA". From Rfam's summary of the family: Transfer RNA (tRNA) molecules are approximately 80 nucleotides in length. Their secondary structure includes four short double-helical elements and three loops (D, anti-codon, and T loops). The record is from RNAcentral. Lineage: Bacteria; Pseudomonadati; Candidatus Omnitrophota.
GCUGGCGUAGCUCAAUCGGUAGAGCAGCUGUUUCGUAAACAGCAGGUUACGCGUUCAAGUCGCGUCGCCAGCU